ACCCUCCAGACUCCUUACCACUCGGGUCUAAAGACUGGUCUGAGUGUUUUAACAAAGGAGGAAAAGGACAACCGAAGUGGACUUGGGUUCUUUAGUGAUCUACAAGUUCAUUUAAAAUGCAU
This 122-nucleotide small nucleolar RNA is filed under the name Echinops telfairi (small Madagascar hedgehog). Its description in RNAcentral is "Small nucleolar RNA SNORA61 (ENSETEG00000025753.1)". The record is from RNAcentral. Lineage: Eukaryota; Metazoa; Chordata; Mammalia; Afrosoricida; Tenrecidae.